CAGUGCAAACAGAUCUCAAUUAUCUCAGAAAUGAAGAUUUGCUUUAGUUCAAAGUCCAGAACGUGUGUUCUUUGAUCAAGGUCUGAGGAUGUGUGUGUGUGUGUGUGCGCGUGUGCGUGCGCGCGCAGGCAAUCACACAAGCCUGUACAUUUGUGCUGUUGAGAGAGAGAGGACCAGCAACAGCCUUGGCUUUCUGCUCUCCACCGCGGCCCUAGCUGAUACGGUAAUUUUAUGUAUUCGUGUUUUCUUGUCCGGCCUCAAAUGACAACAUAAGCUGAAUGGUGCCGCGGCAAGUGGUGAACAAGGGCUUAAUUACAGGGACCUUUGCCCAACUGACACGCUGAAAAUUGGCCCCAGGGAUGAUUCAGCAGUAAUCUCGCCACCGUUCCAGAGAAGCCCUCUCUGGGAUGACGUCAUGUCUCGCCCCACCCACCGCUCCUGCUUGCCUCUCCUCUCCAGAACCCCAGUCCCAUCUGUGGAGCUCAGAGCUGCCAUCUGCAUUGCGAAGAAUAUGCAUUUUAUUACUGAAAUAGCAUUCCUGCGCCCAACGGUGCCCCUUGAGCACUUCAUACUUAAUAGCUGCCAGAAAAGGAAGAAAUCCCAGCCCCAGGGGAUGACCAAGGGCAUAUCCCAAUCUCUGUCUGCUGCCUCCUGUAUCCGGAACUGGGUAUUUAUCUCUGCGCACCAUGAAUAUUUACACUUUGAGGGAAAGAGAUUGGCUUAACUUGAGCUUCGGGAUUCAAGGCCCAAGGCUAGCGUGGCUACGCAGAAAGCGUUGCAGGGUGCGGAGAGAAAGGGACUCGAGCCGUACCUGGCAUCUGCGCGCGGCCCACGCAGGCUUUGGGUUGCCUUUCCCCACUUCACCAGCCUCCCCUUUUCCAUGACCAAUAAAGCCAGACAGGUGUUUGUGAGAGGCGCCCUUACCUUCAUCUACUGGCUUUGGUUUGCCUUGCUACUUCUGGAGAGAGCCAUUUUAUUUCUGUCAUCUACUUUGCAGAGCUGUGGAAAAAGAGCUGGGGUGGGUAGCGCUGGCAGAAAGAGACCCUAAGAAUGGAUCUCAGCUUUGUUUUCUGUCUCUGAUCGCUGCUGUGAUGCAGGGUGUCCGGCAGCCAGUUUACAAAUGAGGGGAGAAAAUGAAAAAGAGGGUGAAGGUUUGUUUAGAUCGUCGACGCUGCCAAGGGGCCACAAACCAAAGCUAACAGAGCCGCCCCGUCUGCAGGCUUCCCGUCAUAGAAGUGAAUACAUUCUUUGCCAUGUAAACUCGGUGGAUCAAGGCUUUCUGUUACCUAAGUGCGGUAAACAUCAUCAUCGCCCGUGACAGGGACUCUUCAAGCCUUUGGACCGUGAAUCAAAAAGUAUGUUCAGUCUCGGUGCCGUGUAGGAUGUGUGUGCGAGGAAUGCAUCCUGCCGUGUUCUCUGCUCCGCCGCUGCAGUUUUAAGAAUUCAGGUCAUGACCCACUAAAGUGAUCGCAAUGCUCACGGAUGGGUCGUGACCCACAUUUCCGAGAACAUUAAGUCAUAGGGGAUGUAAGCUGCAGGAAUAACAUAGAAAGUGCAGCACAGUGUCAGAAAGACAGGGCCACGGAGUGUCAGCACAGGAAGGAGCUGUUGCCAUGAGCUGGAAGGCACACAUUUUUAUCAGGGGAAGAAGCAGAGAGCUGGGGAUUCAUAGAACGACAGGGACCAUGACAGAGUGGCAGAAAACACCAGUGCAGGUACGCCAGGCUCAAGGUUGAAGACGGUCGGAUUGGGGCAAGGUCAUGUGCGAGGCCACCAAUGAGGUCACUGGGAAAGGUUGGUUGCGGGACAUUUAAAAUGGCAGCAAGUGUGCAUUGGUCAGGCCUGCAUCUCGUUAGAUGGGGACACUGGAGGAGCUUCAGGCACAUCGUGGGUGGGGAGACCAGUGCCCCCCCAUCACCACUCUGCCUAUAGCCAUGCAAAGCCACCACUGGGGUCUCCACUGAGGAGUUGUCGAUACUGAACACAGAGCUUGGUUUUCAGAAAAUGUCCGAUCUUGAACUUCCUCCAGGUGAAACCCAGCAGGCAUGGUGGGCGGCCUUUCAAAGCAGAAAGGCCCCUAUGUCCCGGCCUUUUGUUCACUGCCUCCUAGAAAGUUCCUAUCAUUUGAGAUCCAGACUCCACAGGUAGGUAGGGCUGUGCUAUUUGACACCUCUCCAAAAAAAAACAAAAAACAAAAAAAACAAAGUCGAGGAGGAGGAAUUGAAAUCUCUGGUAAAAUCCGGGGUUUGCACUAUCUGUAGAUUUGAAUUACCCACAUCCUUCCUUCCCUGCUCUCUCCCUGGAGAGCAGAGGUUGACUCUCAAAUGGAGAUGAAUGGGCACUCGUCUGUAGCCGCUGGAAAUCCAGAGCGGCAUUCUCCUAGGAGUCCACUACCGCGGAUGUUGAGUACCGACUUCCUUCAAGUCCAUGGACACAUCAGCUUUCUAACCAGCGUUCUUUCCCCAUCUAUUAAGAUCUCUUAUCUUCUAGUCCUUCAGCCUCUGCUGUUGGUGAGGCGAGCUGCCGGGACGAUGCCAAGAGAUGUUUCUCAGCAGCCCAGAGGAAGCUACAGAUCCUCUGAAGUCUACCGUGAUUCCCUGCCAUGCUCACAGAAACCCACCUGUAUGUUAACUCCCGACGCUCAGGAAUGGUCUUCCAAUGAUGUCACCUCUCGUUCUCCUUUGGAAACCAGAUGUGAAGAACAACACAACACUUCUCCAUCUUCUCGUCCAGUCUUUCCUCAAUCAGUCUGAAGGCGGGACACCUGAGAAGAGCACACACUCUAAAGCCAUUGCUGCAACAAGACGGAUGAAUGAUAGAGGAAAUGGUUGCGGAGCUGCUCUGGGAGAAAGCCCUUGUCCUUCUGUGUGUUGCCUCUGGAGUUUUGAUUGAUAUUUGGGCUAUUAAAUAGAUACCUCACAGGCCUCUUCCUGUUCUGUGUGCUCUUGCCACAGUUUUAGAUGCAGUGAAAAGGGCCCCCAAGACUGUCUCCUGCCACUGGGUGGAGGAACACCCUCCACCAGCGCAACCCUGAGGACCGGGGCUUAUGGCUCAAGAAAAGAUUUAUCACCACUUUCCUUCCCAGCCACCACCACCUCCCCUCCCUGCCUGGGCAGGAAGCCACCUGCCAGAGCCACGGUCACUGCUGGGGUCACACUCUCCACGUGCGUGCCAUUUUGGGAUCUGACUCCCGUGCGAGGCCGCAGCUUCCUCCUCAGUGGUCUUUGAAAACGCUCUGUUUUCCCAGCUGUUCCGCAAGCCUUUGUUGGCGAAUGCAGCCUUGCACAUAGCUUUCCAAAAUUACCAGGGCUAAGACAUUCUUUCCACCCACGGCAUCCGUGCUGACCCCAGCACCAUUUGUCAGUGCAUCCCCCCCACACACACACACACCAGUGUGUCUCACUUUGGGUGCAUCUCCCUAGGCCCGUGAGUGGCUCUGGAAGGGGUCAGGGGGCACACCCGGGAUUGUUUGCUCCAUUCUGAAUUCCAUAUAAACAGACUCACGCAGCGCAGCGUGUCCUUUCUUUCUGAGAGCAGUGACCUUUGAUCAACACACUGCCCUCCAGAGUGCGGGAGGCACACCAACAGAAGCUUCCUUGCCAGUGGCUUUCCGAUGUACAAAUGAAAUGGAGACACUUGUGUGUGGCUGGUCUCUUCUUGAUGGCCUCGCCCGUUUCCAGGCUCUGACUACCGUCUCCAGGCCACUGCGGGCGUUCUUGCGGCAGGCGUCUUUCAGGUGUGCGCCGUCAUUUCUCUUCGGUGUCCACCAAGGAGGAACGCUGUUGUCAUGGCGGUGCAUGCCUAGCUUCACCAUGAACUGCCAGUCUUCCAAGGAGAAUACACACUCCAGUACGUGUUUACUCCUCACAACAGCCGUGAGAGUCUGUCAGUCAGCUCCUGGGUGCUUUCUGAGCAGCGAUUCUAGGCUGGGCCCAGUUUUAGGAAAGAAAUACAGCAAAGGCAAGACACAUAAGACUCCUUUUCUGGACACGCCUCCAUGGAGGAGAUGAGCAAAACCCCUGCAUAUGUGAAGAAGGCAGCCUCGGGGGGUCAACCGUGCUGUGAAAGC
Long non-coding RNA from Alexandromys fortis (reed vole), 4069 nucleotides. RefSeq lists it as uncharacterized. The record is from RefSeq and is a predicted model, not a curated record. The transcript is spliced from 3 exons. NCBI's taxonomy places the organism in Eukaryota, Metazoa, Chordata, Mammalia, Rodentia, Cricetidae.